UGGGGAAUUUUGGACAAUGGGCGCAAGCCUGAUCCAGCAAUGCCGCGUGAGUGAAGAAGGCCUUCGGGUUGUAAAGCUCUUUCAGUCGAGAAGAAAAAGCUGCAGUGAAUAACUGUAGUUCAUGACGGUAUCGACAGAAGAAGCACCGGCUAACUACGUG
Molecule: ribosomal RNA, 160 nt
Filed under: uncultured bacterium
Lineage: Bacteria
Also listed under: 1 other name
Description: partial 16S ribosomal RNA
Rfam family: Bacterial small subunit ribosomal RNA
Source: RNAcentral